GUUUCAGCCGCCGCGGUAAUACGGAGGAUCCAAGCGUUAUCCGGAUUCAUUGGGUUUAAAGGGUGCGUAGGCGGAACGAUAAGUCAGUGGUGAAAGCCCUCAGCUUAACUGAGGAACUGCCAUUGAUACUGUCGAUCUUGAGUACAUUUGAUGUGGGCGGAAUGUGUCAUGUAGCGGUGAAAUGCUUAGAUAUGACACAGAACACCGAUUGCGAAGGCAGCUCACAAAACUGUAACUGACGCUGAGGCACGAAAGCGUGGGUAUCAAACAGGAUUAGAAACCCCAGUAGUCC
RNAcentral lists this ribosomal RNA (292 nucleotides) under uncultured bacterium. RNAcentral describes it as "partial 16S ribosomal RNA". It matches the Rfam family "Bacterial small subunit ribosomal RNA", at positions 505 to 796 of the family's 1533-position model. The record is from RNAcentral.